RNAcentral lists this long non-coding RNA (410 nucleotides) under Apteryx owenii (little spotted kiwi). Its description in RNAcentral is "lncRNA (ENSAOWG00000018276.1)". The record is from RNAcentral. Lineage: Eukaryota; Metazoa; Chordata; Aves; Apterygiformes; Apterygidae.
CUAAAGAAAGAGAGACAAGAUACCUAUAAGGAAUGGAAAAUUCAUACUUAAAAGAGGAGAGAUUUAAAGGAAACUUGGUGACAGCAGAGCUGAGCUGAAAGUGGAGGCGUUUAUGUGGAGGGUGGACGAAAAUGACAGAUAUUCUGCUUCAGCCUGGAAAAAAUGUGAAUGAUUUCCUACUGAAGGAUCAGGGUAUGCUAGUGAAAUUGGAACAGAUGGAGACAAUGUGUUUUUUGUUUACAGAAACAGACAUAGUCACAGGAGAAAUGGCACCCAGGAAUGAACUCCUAUCACCAAAACAAUAUGCUGCCUGCAGUAGAGAAAGUAUGUGCAGAAGCUUUAGCAGAGUCUUCACAGAUCAUGGGAUGGACCCAAUCCAAGAACUUCUUCAGACAAAUGACGCUGGGUGA